This 408-nucleotide ribosomal RNA is filed under the name Triticum aestivum (bread wheat). RNAcentral's name for it is "partial small subunit ribosomal RNA". Lineage: Eukaryota; Viridiplantae; Streptophyta; Magnoliopsida; Poales; Poaceae. The record is from RNAcentral.
AUGGCGGUGGGCGUACAAGACAGCGACUCCGAUACCGCAUCCACCGAUUCCGAUUACGAAGACGACUACGAAUUCCUCAAGCGGCCCGCGUCACGCCAGGCGGUGGAAGGCCUGCCGGAGAUGAUGCUCAGCGAAGAGGAGGCCGCCUGCGGCUGCGCGGUGUGCAAGGAUGUCUUCGCGUCGGAGCAGCGCGUUGUCUUUCUCCCGUGCAAGCACUACUUCCAUGGCGACUGCAUCCUGCCAUGGCUCGCCAUGAGGAGCACAUGCCCUGUGUGCCGGUAUCAACUCCCCACCGAUGAUACUGGGUCUGGGCAGCGGCAGGCACAUCAACUGAGGGUUCUUUUACCAGUGGAUCGUCAGGGUGCAUCUCAGCAGAGAGGAGGCGGAGCCACCACAGGAAGCGACUGA